Molecule: antisense RNA, 75 nt
Filed under: Streptomonospora alba
Lineage: Bacteria; Bacillati; Actinomycetota; Actinomycetes; Streptosporangiales; Nocardiopsidaceae
Description: ASpks TB sRNA
Rfam family: ASpks TB sRNA
Source: Rfam by way of RNAcentral
CUUCAGCGAACCGAUCCACAGCGGAUUCUCGGGCGAGCGCUCCCGGCCGUAUGUCGCCAGCAGCGCCUCGGCCUC